This 424-nucleotide ribosomal RNA is filed under the name uncultured bacterium. RNAcentral describes it as "bacterial SSU rRNA". It matches the Rfam family "Bacterial small subunit ribosomal RNA", at positions 355 to 772 of the family's 1533-position model. The record is from RNAcentral.
UGGGGAAUUGUUCGCAAUGGGCGCAAGCCUGACGACCCAACGCCGCGUGGAGGAUGACGGUCUUCGGAUUGUAAACUCCUGUUGCCCGGGACGAAUAGCUUCGACCUAACACGGCGGAGUAUGACGGUACCGGGUGAGGAAGCCCCGGCUAACUCCGGGCCAGCAGCCGCGGUAAUACAGAGGGGGCAAGCGUUGUUCGGAAUUACUGGGCGUAAAGGGCGCGUAGGCGGCCUGCUAAGUCGAACGUGAAAUCCCCGGGCUCAACCCGGGAACUGCGUCCGAUACUGGCUGGCUUGAAUCCGGGAGAGGGAUGUGGAAUUCCAGGUGUAGCGGUGAAAUGCGUAGAUAUCUGGAGGAACACCGGUGGCGAAGGCGACAUCCUGGACCGGUAUUGACGCUGAGGCGCGAAAGCCAGGGGAGCAAA